Molecule: long non-coding RNA, 489 nt
Organism: Lagopus leucura (white-tailed ptarmigan)
Lineage: Eukaryota; Metazoa; Chordata; Aves; Galliformes; Phasianidae
Exons: 2
Source: RefSeq, a predicted model, not a curated record
ACAUCCAUGUGUUUCUUCUUUUUUUUUUCAGAUGCUCAUUUGCCAUUUACCCUCAGCUGUUUCUGAAGACUAUGAAAGUUGAUUACUCAACUAAGUUUAUGCCAAUGAUUGAUCAUUUCUGCUAAUGACCACAACUCUUCUUCUAUGAGGAAUAGAAAAAGCAGUACAACAAAAACAAAUCAAAAGUUAGAAGUUUUUGCCAGAACUGAAAUCGGAAAUGCCAAAGUACUGUGAGAAGGGCUGUUCUGUAUUACAGCUGACCCAAAUGAAACAAGGAAGUACUGGAGAAGCACAGGACAGUCUAUUUGAAGGAGGCUGCCAUCCAGUUUCCAGACUACAGAAGUUUGGAUGAGGUCAGAUAAACUCUGGAAACUGUUAAACUUCUGGAUGUAUAUCUGAACUGAACCAGCAGAUCUUUGUGACUCAUGCUUUACUGAUGCCCUCUUUUUGUGGAGAUGAGUAGAAAUAAAAUAGUUUUACUUUGGGAAA